Molecule: ribosomal RNA, 469 nt
Filed under: uncultured bacterium
Lineage: Bacteria
Description: partial 16S ribosomal RNA
Rfam family: Bacterial small subunit ribosomal RNA
Source: RNAcentral
GACGAACGCUGGCGGCGUGCUUAACACAUGCAAGUCGAACGGAAAGGCCCUUUGCUUGCAAGGGGUACUCGAGUGGCGAACGGGUGAGUAACACGUGGGUGAUCUGCCUUGCACUUCGGGAUAAGCCUGGGAAACUGGGUCUAAUACCGGAUAGGACCAUGCUUUAGUGUGUGUGGUGGAAAGUUUUUCGGUGCAAGAUGAGCCCGCGGCCUAUCAGCUUGUUGGUGGGGUAAUGGCCUACCAAGGCGACGACGGGUAGCCGGCCUGAGAGGGUGUACGGCCACAUUGGGACUGAGACACGGCCCAGACUCCUACGGGGGGCAGCAGUGGGGAAUAUUGCACAAUGGGCGCAAGCCUGAUGCAGCGACGCCGCGUGGGGGAUGACGGCCUUCGGGUUGUAAACUCCUUUCGCUAGGGAAGAAGCCUUUUGGUGACGGUACCUGGAUAAGAAGCACCGGCUAACUACGUG